AAGUUCAGAUGUGAAAGACCCGGGGCGUCAACCUCGGAAUUGCAUUUGUAAACUAGGCAGACUAGAGUACUGUAGAGGGGGGUAGGAAUUUCAGGUGUAGCGGUGAAAUAGCGUAGAGAUCUGAAGGAAUACCGGUGGCGAAGGCGGCCCCCUCGGACAGAUACUGACACUCAGAUGCGAAAGCGUGGGGAGCAAACAGGAUUAGAUACCCUGGUAG
Molecule: ribosomal RNA, 217 nt
Filed under: uncultured bacterium
Lineage: Bacteria
Description: partial 16S ribosomal RNA
Rfam family: Bacterial small subunit ribosomal RNA
Source: RNAcentral